AUAAUGGAGUAAGUCAUAGCUGACUGGAUUGUUUAUAAAAACUAAAUGAUAUAAUUUAAAUGAAAGCCUUCCUAGCUAGGGUCAGGUAGCUAGGGCAUUGUAGUUAUAUUUUGCCCAACUGUUUCUCCUCUAGAAAUAUGAGCUAUUUAUGAGUAGGGAACGUGACUUAUUCACUCCUGUUUUUGCAAAGCACAGGAUCCUUGAAUAGUUGGUUCUACUCUCUAUCUCCAUGAGUUCCAUUGUUUUAUUUAUUUAUUUAUUUAUUGAGACAGAGUCUCACUCUGUCACCCAGGCUGGAGUGCAGUGGC
This 308-nucleotide long non-coding RNA is filed under the name Pan troglodytes (chimpanzee). RNAcentral describes it as "long non-coding RNA NONPTRT005750". The record is from RNAcentral. Lineage: Eukaryota; Metazoa; Chordata; Mammalia; Primates; Hominidae.